This 253-nucleotide unclassified non-coding RNA is filed under the name uncultured Caryophanales bacterium. RNAcentral describes it as "uncultured Bacillales bacterium contains 16S-23S intergenic spacer region". It matches the Rfam family "Bacterial small subunit ribosomal RNA", at positions 524 to 776 of the family's 1533-position model. Lineage: Bacteria; Bacillati; Bacillota; Bacilli; Caryophanales. The record is from RNAcentral.
UACGUAGGGGGCAAGCGUUGUCCGGAAUUAUUGGGCGUAAAGCGCGCGCAGGCGGUUCCUUAAGUCUGAUGUGAAAGCCCACGGCUCAACCGAGGCGGGUCAUUGGAAACUGGGGAACUUGAGUCCAGAAGAGGAGCGUGGAAUUCCACGUGUAGCGGUGGAAUGCGUAGAUAUGUGGAGGAACACCGGUGGCGAAGGCGACUCUCUGGUCUGUAACUGACGCUGAGGCGCGAAAGCGUGGGGAGCGAACAGG